GAUGAACGCUAGCGGCAGGCCUAACACAUGCAAGUCGAGGGGUAGGGGCUUUCGGGCCUUGAGACCGGCGCACGGGUGCGUAACGCGUAUGCAAUCUGCCUUACACUAAGGGAUAGCCCAGAGAAAUUUGGAUUAAUACCUUAUAGUAUGAUGAUGUGGCAUCACAAUAUCAUUAAAGAUUUAUUGGUGUAAGAUGAGCAUGCGUCCCAUUAGCUAGUUGGUAUGGUAACGGCAUACCAAGGCAAUGAUGGGUAGGGGUCCUGAGAGGGAGAUCCCCCACACUGGUACUGAGACACGGACCAGACUCCUACGGGAGGCAGCAGUGAGGAAUAUUGGACAAUGGGCGCAAGCCUGAUCCAGCCAUGCCGCGUGCAGGAUGACGGUCCUAUGGAUUGUAAACUGCUUUUGUACGGGAAGAAACCUCCCCUUGUAAGGGGAAUUGACGGUACCGUAAGAAUAAGGAUCGGCUAACUCCGUGCCAGCAGCCGCUGUAACAC
This 497-nucleotide ribosomal RNA is filed under the name uncultured bacterium. Its description in RNAcentral is "bacterial SSU rRNA". It matches the Rfam family "Bacterial small subunit ribosomal RNA", at positions 28 to 526 of the family's 1533-position model. The record is from RNAcentral.